RNAcentral lists this transfer RNA (64 nucleotides) under Platypus contaminatus. Its description in RNAcentral is "tRNA-Asp". The record is from RNAcentral. Lineage: Eukaryota; Metazoa; Arthropoda; Insecta; Coleoptera; Curculionidae.
AAAAACUUAGUUAAAAAAUAACAUUAGCUUGUCAGACUAAAAUUAUUAUCUAUAAUAGUUUUUU